Molecule: long non-coding RNA, 1352 nt
Organism: Bombina bombina (fire-bellied toad)
Lineage: Eukaryota; Metazoa; Chordata; Amphibia; Anura; Bombinatoridae
Exons: 10
Source: RefSeq, a predicted model, not a curated record
CGGAAGGUUACAUUUGAGUCUUACUUACUUCCUGUACAGACAGGCAGAAACUACAGGAAGCGGAAGGCAGAAAUUGCGCCAAAAUUUGAAUGAGAAUAUACAACAGCUGGAAUAUCUGCCCUGCACAAAAUGGCUCCAGUGGUUAGAAACAGGUGGUGGCAGAAUGGUUUUGUGGCAACUGCAAGCAUAUGGCAACUUCAUGUUUUUCCACAAGGUUUUGAGGCCAGUUUGCAGAUCUAGCAAUGUGAAGAGAGGCCAUGAUGCAUAAAAGGUCUCAACUCUGCCUGUGGAAGAUACUUUAUGCAAUAACUAGACUGCUACUGGCAGAUGAGAUGUGUAGCAUAUUUACAAAAACCUCACAUCCAGGCUACAAGUUUGAGGAGCGUUCACAGAUUUUACGAUGAGAGGAGAGAGGCGAUAUUGUGAAAAGAGCUCACUUCACCUCAGCUGGUGCUGUCACUAGAUGAUGCCCACUCAAUACAAUAACACUGUGUGGUGUAUGAUAUGUUGUACAAAGUUUGUGUAGAAGCGGAAGACUACAAGCUUAUCGGGACGACUUACAGAUUGCCGAUAACUUGAUCCAACGCCUUUAUGCAACUAUUCCUUGAUGGGAACUUGUGACAUCAGGCCAGCUGGCUUGUUGGAAUAUCUGUCCAGCUCAAACGGCUCCAGUGGUUAGAAACCGGUGUUGGCAUGGCAGAAGGUUGUGAGGCCAGUUUGCAGGUGAUGCUAAAGUCAACAGAUCUACAGCACAAGUUGCCAUACAGCCAACACUUAGUGCCUAGUUCAUUGUCAAAAGAAAUGUUUCUGUGCCUCCUUUGUUAAAACAGAUCUAACAAAGUGACGAGACAGGCCAUAAUAUACAAAGAGCGCUCUUCAACUGUCUGUUAAACAAAUGCGUCUGUGCAAUCACUAGACUACUGGCAGAUGAGAUAAGGUGUAGAAUGUUUCCAAAAACCUCACAUCCAGGCUGCAAGUUGGUUAUCCUGUCAAGCUACUGUUUUGCUGCAUGAAAAGGACACAUCUGCUGCUGAAGAUCUGCUACGUCAUUCUGCUGCACAAGAUGAGACGACAUCUCUAGUAGCGACAAACACUGUGGGGGACUUUAAAAAUGCAUGGAACAAGCAUAAGGCUAUCGUACAAACUAGAUACGUUUAUACUGUUAGGUGUUUUCCAGCUGGAGUGCGUGUGCGUGUUUUGAGUAACUGCUGCUCUCAUAACUCGGUGUACCCGUGGAAAGGGAUUGUCCUUGGCGUUCCUGUUUGAACUACAAACCUGACUAUUUAAUAAAAUGCUAAUAAAGUGUUUCUGAUAUCUGUUCUAUUAAUAAAGUUGUGACUGAUCUGAUCUUA